UCUUAAUAAACUCCUGCUGGUGAGACUGAGUGGUUUCUGGUCCGAUCUACAGGCUGAGGUGAAGCCAGACGCAGCGACAGCCCUGAGAUCCUCCGGCCUGACUUUUCCCUCCAGGCCGUUCCCGUGAUGAAGGCUUCACUCUUCCAGGCUUCAUGUGACUCCGGCAAUCACUGCCUCAUUCACCACACUGGCAUCGGUGGUUUUCAGACCUUAAAGACGACUCAUCUGCUCAGCGUUGGCUUUAAUUCUCACCGUCACACUGCGGCGAUCCGCGGAUUUUCUCCUUCCAGUCAACAAAGCCUGUUUACAGUCACCGCGGGUCAGGACGCAUCCGCUGACGUCCGGCGCUCGGGAGAUGACUGACUUUCAUAAUUCAGCUUUUAAUAUCAAAAAUGAAGUUGAAGAGAUGAACUUUUACUUCCUGUCUUCAUUACUUUUAUUUUCUUUCCAAGUAAACACGCUUUCUACUAAUCCUUAAAGAGCUGCUGAUUAACAGUUUUUCAUGCUUUUCUCCAGGUUUUCUUUGAAAAUGUUUUGCAGUUUGAAUGUUUGACCAUUUCCACCAUGUGUGGCUGCUGGUUUGUGACUGGGACCAACCAGCCUCAGAGACUUUGAUGUCUGAAUGGUCAGCCUGCUAAACAUAAAGAGACCCGUUGAUUGGACCAAAUAACUGACUUUGUUACAGAACCGGCUCCAUAUCGGAUCUUUGGGUUCUAACGCCGUUUGGUUUUUACUGGCUGCUCAGAUGAGCAGAACGUCAAAACGAAUAUUAAGACCCAAACUUUCAGUAAUUAUUAGCCGUUAUUACUAUUUAUAUGUUUGUAUUAUUUAAGUAUUUAUUCUGGGAAGAGAUGGAGAUUUGAGUCACAAAAAUAAAUGACUUGACUUGGA
This is a long non-coding RNA of Gambusia affinis (western mosquitofish), 891 nucleotides long. RefSeq lists it as uncharacterized. Lineage: Eukaryota; Metazoa; Chordata; Actinopteri; Cyprinodontiformes; Poeciliidae. The record is from RefSeq and is a predicted model, not a curated record. The transcript has 2 exons.